CCUACGGGUGGCAGCAGUGAGGAAUAUUGGUCAAUGGACGAGAGUCUGAACCAGCCAAGUAGCGUGAAGGAGGACUGCCCUAUGGGUUGUAAACUUCUUUUAUAUGGGAAUAAAAUGUUCCACGUGUGGGAUUUUGUAUGUACCAUAUGAAUAAGGAUCGGCUAACUCCGGGCCAGCAGCCGCGGUAAUACGGAGGAUCCGAGCGUUAUCCGGAUUUAUUGGGUUUAAAGGGAGCGUAGGUGGAUUGUUAAGUCAGUUGUGAAAGUUUGCGGCUCAACCGUAAAAUUGCAGUUGAAACUGGCAGUCUUGAGUACAGUAGAGGUGGGCGGAAUUCGUGGUGUAGCGGUGAAAUGCUUAGAUAUCACGAAGAACUCCGAUUGCGAAGGCAGUUCACUGGACUGCAACUGACACUGAGGCUCGAAAGUGUGGGUAUCAAACAGGAUUAGAUACCCGAGUAGUC
Molecule: ribosomal RNA, 460 nt
Filed under: uncultured bacterium
Lineage: Bacteria
Description: partial 16S ribosomal RNA
Rfam family: Bacterial small subunit ribosomal RNA
Source: RNAcentral